GUGGGGAAUAUUGGACAAUGGGCGAAAGCCUGAUCCAGCCAUGCCGCGUGUGUGAAGAAGGUCUUCGGAUUGUAAAGCACUUUAAGUUGGGAGGAAGGGCAGUAAGUUAAUACCUUGCUGUUUUGACGUUACCAACAGAAUAAGCACCGGCUAACUUCGUGCCAGCAGCCGCGGUAAUACGAAGGGUGCAAGCGUUAAUCGGAAUUACUGGGCGUAAAGCGCGCGUAGGUGGUUCAGCAAGUUGGAGGUGAAAUCCCCGGGCUCAACCUGGGAACUGCAUCCAAAACUACUGAGCUAGAGUACGGUAGAGGGUAGUGGAAUUUCCUGUGUAGCGGUGAAAUGCGUAGAUAUAGGAAGGAAGACCAGUGGCGAAGGCGACUACCUGGACUGAUACUGACACUGAGGUGCGAAAGCGUGGGGAGCAAACAGGAUUAGAAACCCCGGUAGUCC
RNAcentral lists this ribosomal RNA (450 nucleotides) under uncultured bacterium. RNAcentral describes it as "partial 16S ribosomal RNA". It matches the Rfam family "Bacterial small subunit ribosomal RNA", at positions 354 to 796 of the family's 1533-position model. The record is from RNAcentral.